This 1412-nucleotide long non-coding RNA is filed under the name Brassica napus (rape). RNAcentral describes it as "long non-coding RNA (BNAP_LNC010414)". The record is from RNAcentral. Lineage: Eukaryota; Viridiplantae; Streptophyta; Magnoliopsida; Brassicales; Brassicaceae.
ACGCCUCCCCUUUCUCCUUCCUCAUCUUAUCUUUGCUCAUCUCCUUCCUCUCUCUGUCGGUGUCGACAUGUCCGGAGCCCUGGUGGUAGUUACGGUGUCGGAACCCUAGAUCUGCUCCGGGGGGAACUAGAUCCGGCUUCUUGUGACUUGCUACUGGUGUUUCUACGAGGCACUGCAGGUUUGGAGGGAGAUGGGUCGGUUUUUAGAGUUUGAUUUCGAUGGAUCUGUUUUCCCCUUUCCGAUCUACUCGGAGUCAUGGCGGUGAUGGCGCGUGAGUGUAGGGUGGACUCACUCCUCUGUUCUUCAUGGUUUUAUGUCCCGACGGUGGUCGGAGUGGAGUGGAGCGCUAGGUUUCUGUGGUAUCGAAGCUUGGCGUCUUGUUUCGAUCCAUGGUUUUGCUGCCGUUCAAAGGAGGCGUCAGGACUGUAUGACGGCGCGUGCUCAAUACACUGGUGGUCGUGUGGCAACAGUUUGCUGAGAUAUCAUCCUGUGUAGCUCAAGAGUCGCUGGUUUGCUCUGUCGUCUAUGGCAGAUUCAGCCGCUUCUCGGCAGUUACUCUUCACAUAAAACAUAAUCUGAAUCUAUAUCCACAAUCGUUCGCCUUGUCGGAGCUCUGUUGCUGUCACUUAUCGUAAGUGGUGGUGCGGCUUUGGAGUCAAGACGCGUCCGUAUGGUGGCGCUCGGAGGUGACGGGGCUGUUGAUGCGCAUUCUGGUGGUUUUAUUUCCGGGCGAUGGAGGCUUCUUUAGCUCCGUUGACGUCGGUUCUCUUGUGGGGGGUGGAGGCUUUCAUAGAUCCACCGUCGCCACUCUUGCUUCCGGGAAGGUGAGGUUUCUUUAACUCUCUUCGCCGGCUUUUGGAUUACGGUGAGAGGAGGCUCACAUAGCUCCUUGAUACCGGUGUGAGACCCUUUGUUUUGGGUGUGGCGAUUAGAUCGAGGUUUGUAGAGGCGGUUGGUUCUUGUAAUCUGUGAGGGAUUCGUGGGUCGCCGAGGAUGAGAUAUUAGUUUAAGCUCUCCGGCGACGGCGAUGAAGUUUUUAGAAGAAGUUUGUGCGGUUCUCGGCUCAACUGUCCAGCGUUUCUGGUGGUCCAAAGUCGGAGGCGAUCUCGGUUAUCUGAUGAACCCUCCGGCGUGAAGACAGUUCGGCGAUGAACGUUUGUGUACGUGCGGAGGCUCUGCAGGUUCGGAGCCCCGGCGGUAGUGGCGUCUCCUUGCGGCGCGCCUAGGGCGAUCAACCCGGUUUCUAGUUGUUUGGACCGUGUGGCCGUCUUGUAUUUCUUGGGCUUUGGCCCAUUGUGUGUUUAUGCUUUGUGGCCCGUAGUAUCGUGGGUUUUUGUUUAAAUCUCGUGCUGUUUGGGCUUCGGCCCUGGGCUUGGCCCAUCUAUCAAUAAAAACAAUUUGGGAAAAAAAAA